UACGUAGGGGGCGAGCGUUGUCCGGAUUUAUUGGGCGUAAAGAGCUCGUAGGCGGUUUGGCAAGUCGGGUGUGAAAACUCCGGGCUCAACUCGGAGACGCCACUCGAUACUGCUAUGACUCGAGUCCGGUAGGGGAGUGCGGAAUUCCUGGUGUAGCGGUGAAAUGCGCAGAUAUCAGGAGGAACACCGGUGGCGAAGGCGGCACUCUGGGCCGGUGCUGACGCUGAGGAGCGAAAGCGUGGGGAGCGAACAGG
This 254-nucleotide ribosomal RNA is filed under the name uncultured bacterium. Its description in RNAcentral is "partial 16S ribosomal RNA". It matches the Rfam family "Bacterial small subunit ribosomal RNA", at positions 524 to 776 of the family's 1533-position model. The record is from RNAcentral.